Molecule: ribosomal RNA, 250 nt
Filed under: uncultured bacterium
Lineage: Bacteria
Description: partial 16S ribosomal RNA
Rfam family: Bacterial small subunit ribosomal RNA
Source: RNAcentral
UACGUAGGCGGCGAGCGUUAUCCGGAUUUACUGGGCGUAAAGAGGGCGCAGGCGGCUUGGCAAGUCGGAUGUAAAAUCUCCCGGCUUAACUGGGAGAGAUCGUUCGAUACUGUUAGGCUAGAGGGCAGCAGAGGGUGAUGGAAUUCCCGGUGUAGUGGUGAAAUGCGUAGAUAUCGGGAGGAACACCAGUGGCGAAGGCGGUCACCUGGGCUGUUACUGACGCUUAAGCCCGAAGGCGUGGGGAGCAAAC